UUUCUGUCUCAUACACACUCUCCCUCGUGUACUGUCCUCUUUCUGCAUUGCGGCUAGGGUUUCACCUAAAAAAUCCCUAUUUUUGUUGUUGUUUGUGUACUGAUUUUACAACUGAUUUGAUGGAUAUUCGAAUGAACUAGCGGUUGACGCGGUGGGUUUCACACAUACGAAGGUAAAAAGGGUUUUUGUAGCUCUUGAAAAUGGCGGAUUUGAACCCCUUUGAUUUGCUUGGUGAUGAUGAUAACGAUGAUCCAUCGAAGCUGAUUGCUAUUCACCAGCAAAAAGUUGAUCCGGCGAAGAAAGCCUCAGCUCCGGCGCCGGCGGCGGCUAAGAAACAGCCGGCGAAGCUCCCCACUAAGCCUCCUCCCCCUACUCAAGCUGUCAGGGAGGCAAAAACAGAAUCUGGACGUGGUGGAGGUAGAGGUGGUGGACGUGGCUACAGCUGUGGUCGUGGUGGAGGUGGGUUCAAUAGGGAAGGAUCCAACAAUGAGAACUUUGCUCGCAACAGAGAAUUUUCAGGUGGUAUUGCUGCGCCUGAAUACGUGGAAGGAGGAAGACCCUCUGAAAGACGCGGUGGUUAUGGUGGACCCCGUGCUUUCCGUGGUGGUAGACAAGGUGGUUUUGGUAAUGGAGAAAUGCCUGAGGGGGACCGGCCUCGUAGGACAUUUGAACGCCGUAGUGGUACUGGACGCGGAAGUGAGAUAAAGCGUGAAGGUGCUGGCCGAGGAAACUGGGGAACUGAAGCAGAUGAAGUUACUCUGAUGACUGGUGAAGUUGCUGAUGAAGGUGAGAAAAAUCUGAAUGUGGAGAAACCCUCCACCGAAGAAGAAGCAGGAGUUGAUAAGAAGGAAAAUCCAGCUGCUGAAGCUGCGGACAAGGAGCCUGAAGAUAAGGAGAUGACCCUUGAAGAGUAUGAGAAGUUGCUAGAAGAAAAACGGAAGGCUUUGCAGGCGCUUAAGACUGAGGAAAGGAAGGUCGACACCAAAGUAUUUGAAUCCAUGCAACAGAUUUCAAAGAAAUCCAGUGAUGAAAUCUUUGUCAAAUUGGGCUCCAAGGAUAAGAGAAAAGAGUCUGCUGAGAAGGAAGAAAAGGCAAAGAAGGCGGUCAGCAUUAAUGAGUUUUUGAAGCCUGCUGAGGGUGAGAGGUAUUAUGCACCUGGUGGUCGAGGUCGAGGGCGUGGCCGCGGUUCUAGAGGUUACAGUGAAGCCAACACGAUGAGCAAUGUGGAAGCUGCUCCUCCCAUUGAAGACCCAGGUCACUUCCCUACAUUGGGUGGCAAGUGAUGUGCUUUUUUAGUGCUUUUCUACCACGUCCAAGAGGCAAAUCUGACUAUAAUAAUGGAGUGGAAGUUUCAAUGUAAAUUUCUUCCGUUUAUGUGAUACCCUCUGUAGUUUUAUUUUAUCUGAUGUUUUACUCUUCUGAUCCUACUGGGUUAUAUGAAGCACAUUAACUUAUUUUGCUGUUUUAUUCUAG
Molecule: unclassified non-coding RNA, 1473 nt
Filed under: Hevea brasiliensis (rubber tree)
Lineage: Eukaryota; Viridiplantae; Streptophyta; Magnoliopsida; Malpighiales; Euphorbiaceae
Source: RNAcentral